CCUACGGGUGGCAGCAGUCGAGAAUCAUUCACAAUGGGGGAAACCCUGAUGGGGCGACGCCGCGUGGGGGAAUGAAGGUCUUCGGAUUGUAAACCCCUGUCAUGUGGGAGCAAAGUAAAAAGAGAGUACCACAAGAGGAAGAGACGGCUAACUCGGUGCCAGCAGCCGCGGAAAGACAGAGGUCUCAAGCGUUGUGCGGAAUCACUGGGCGUAAAGCGUGCGUCGGCUGUUUCGUAAGUCGUGUGUGAAAGGCGCGGGCUCAACCCGCGGACGGCACCUGAGACUGCGAGACUAGAGUAAUGGAGGGGGAACCGUAAUUCUCGGUGUAGCCG
RNAcentral lists this ribosomal RNA (332 nucleotides) under uncultured bacterium. RNAcentral's name for it is "partial 16S ribosomal RNA". It matches the Rfam family "Bacterial small subunit ribosomal RNA", at positions 338 to 681 of the family's 1533-position model. The record is from RNAcentral.